Molecule: small nucleolar RNA, 106 nt
Organism: Molossus molossus (Pallas's mastiff bat)
Lineage: Eukaryota; Metazoa; Chordata; Mammalia; Chiroptera; Molossidae
Product: small nucleolar RNA snoR99
Exons: 1
Source: RefSeq, a predicted model, not a curated record
CUGCAGCUUUGGGAUGAACUGUUCCAUAGAUAUCAAUUAAAUCCAUUUUAUUUACUGUGUCAUUUAAAGUUGCAAUUUUAUAGAUGAUUUUUUGCCUGGGAAAGUU